RNAcentral lists this ribosomal RNA (113 nucleotides) under Candidatus Shikimatogenerans bostrichidophilus. The record is from RNAcentral. Lineage: Bacteria; Pseudomonadati; Bacteroidota; Flavobacteriia; Flavobacteriales.
AAUGGGUUGUUUAAAAAUAAAGAUUACCUCUUACCAUUCCGAACAGAGAAGUUAAACUUAUUUUUACUGAUGGUACUAAUUUAAAAAAUUGGGAGAGUAAGUUCAGCCCAUUU